GAUGAACGCUAGCGGCAGGCUUAACACAUGCAAGUCGAGGGGUAACAGGGAGAAGCUUGCUUUUCCGCUGACGACCGGCGCACGGGUGCGUAACGCGUAUAGAACCUACCUUUUACAGAGGAAUAGCCCAGAGAAAUUUGGAUUAAUGCCUCAUAGUAUUAUAGAAUGGCAUCAUUUUAUAAUUAAACAUUUAUGGGUAAAAGAUGGCUAUGCGUUCUAUUAGCUAGUUGGUAAGGUAACGGCUUACCAAGGCUACGAUAGAUAGGGGUCCUGAGAGGGAGAUCCCCCACACUGGUACUGAGACACGGACCAGACUCCUACGGGAGGCAGCAGUGAGGAAUAUUGGACAAUGGAGGCAACUCUGAUCCAGCCAUGCCGCGUGCAGGAAGACGGCCCUAUGGGUUGUAAACUGCUUUUAUAUAGGAAGAAACCUUUCCACGUGUGGAAAGCUGACGGUACUAUAAGAAUAAGCACCGGCUAACUCCGUGCCAGCAGCCGCGGUAAUACGGAGGGUGCAAGCGUUAUCCGGAAUCAUUGGGUUUAAAGGGUCCGUAGGCGGACUAAUAAGUCAGGGGUGAAAUCCAACAGCUUAACUGUUGAACUGCCUUUGAUACUGUUAGUCUUGAAUUAUAUGGAAGUAGAUAGAAUGUGUAGUGUAGCGGUGAAAUGCUUAGAGAUUACACAGAAUACCGAUUGCGAAGGCAGUCUACUACGU
Molecule: ribosomal RNA, 715 nt
Filed under: Lutibacter sp.
Lineage: Bacteria; Pseudomonadati; Bacteroidota; Flavobacteriia; Flavobacteriales; Flavobacteriaceae
Description: bacterial SSU rRNA
Rfam family: Bacterial small subunit ribosomal RNA
Source: RNAcentral